This is a long non-coding RNA of Megalobrama amblycephala (Wuchang bream), 1486 nucleotides long. RefSeq lists it as uncharacterized. The transcript is spliced from 4 exons. The record is from RefSeq and is a predicted model, not a curated record. NCBI's taxonomy places the organism in Eukaryota, Metazoa, Chordata, Actinopteri, Cypriniformes, Xenocyprididae.
AGAUCUAGGCUUUAUACACUCACGCAAACAGGAACUCAAGACACGAAUGCAUUUGAACAUCUGCCCUCUCUUACUAGUUAGCAGGAUUUCUUAAUAUGCCACAUAUGGUAGGGGUUGAUCUUUGAGUAACGAUUGGACGGCCUGGAUAUCGUGGAUGAUUUUGCUAAAUCUUGUGUAUUAAUAUGAGGCUUCUUCCUUAACUUGAGAAUGUUAUGGUACGCCGUCUUGGCGUCUGCUUGAUCAACUGAUGAUAGAUAGCUUUGAGGCUGCAGAUAGUCUACCUGAAAAUUAAUCUAACAAUCAGUAUUUUUUAUCGGUCAGGUCAGUGCUGUAGCAAUGCGUCGCCUCCGUUCCAUGUUUUUACUGCUAGCCGUUAUUGGGCAGCAUGUGAGCGUUCAGUCCACAGGAAGUUUUGUGUGGAGCAUACCGCGAAAAUACAAAUCAGUGUUGUCCGUGUCUAACGGAAUGUACUGGGGGUCAUGGGGGGAUCAGGACAUGUGUCCAAGAGGAACGUAUGCCGCAGGAUUCAGUCUGAGGGUGGAACGACAUUCUCCUCGUCGUGACGUUGAUGAUACAGCACUUAAUGUGAUUCGUCUUCACUGUGUACAUUUGAUCAGAAUAUCAUCAGGCGCACAUGUGGAGUCCAAAGCAGGAUAAUAAUGGAGUCUGAUUAUUAUCAAUUCUUACAUUCAAGUGUUUAAGCUAGAUAAGUGAAUUAAGGAUUUUCUUUAAAAUAAUAAUCAAUUUGAUCAAGAAACCUCUUUGUCUUUUCUUCAGCUGGGGUGAGUGGACAAAUAUCAAGUGGUGUCCUUCGGGAUUCUUAAAAGCUUUCCAGCUGAGAGUCGAACCUGACCAAGGAAAGGAUGAUCAUAUGGCCGCAAACAACAUCAGGUUCAACUGCAGUCAAGGUCAUUUGCUUCAGGGUGAUGGCACAGGCUGGGGUAAUUGGGGCAAAUGGAGCUCAGCGUGUGAUGGAAGAGGAAUCUGCGGCAUCAAGACGCGGGUACAAAAGCGACAGUGGAGUGGAGAUGACACCGCUCUCAAUGACGCGCAAAUGUACUGCUGUGAUUAAGGUGUAGGAGGAUGACAACAAGAACAGCAAGAAGACAAUUGAUCAUCAUACUACAAUCAGCUAACAUGAACCAUGUCAUACAACAGUUUUGUAAGGGAUAAUUCACAGUCAGUCGGUCAUUAUCACAAAACAAAGCCUACAAGAAUCUGAGGCUGACUGGACAUCAUCCCACCCUAUUAUUGAAUUUGAUAUUAUUUUAUUCUAGUAUAUUAGUGAUUCUUCUAUCCACAAGUUUCCUACGCCCCAUGAGGCCUUGCGUCAAAGGUGGGAGCGUCUUCCGGUUCUAAGUAAACAAGCUAGACUUGACCGACGUGACACUCAUUCAUUCAACAGUUGACAGUAAUUCAAGAUUUAACGAUCCAAACUUGCGAACGUUUGUUUUUUACUUAAAGAUUUAAGAUUCCGGCAUCAAUA